Molecule: ribosomal RNA, 421 nt
Filed under: uncultured bacterium
Lineage: Bacteria
Description: bacterial SSU rRNA
Rfam family: Bacterial small subunit ribosomal RNA
Source: RNAcentral
UAAGGAAUAUUGGUCAAUGGACGAAAGUCUGAACCAGCCAUGCCGCGUGGAGGAUGAAGGCCCUCUGGGUUGUAAACUUCUUUUAUAGGGGACGAAAAAGGGUCUUUCUAGAUCAACUGACGGUACCCUAGGAAUAAGCACCGGCUAACUCCGUGCCAGCAGCCGCGGUAAUACGGAGGGUGCAAGCCUUAUCCGGAUUCACUGGGUUUAAAGGGUGCGUAGGUGGGUAGUAAGUCAGUGGUGAAAUCUUCGAGCUUAACUCGGAAACUGCCAUUGAUACUAUUAGUCUUGAAUAUUGUAGAGGUUAGCGGAAUAUGUCAUGUAGCGGUGAAAUGCUUAGAUAUGACAUAGAACACCAAUUGCGAAGGCAGCUGGCUACACAUAUAUUGACACUGAGGCACGAAAGCGUGGGGAUCAAACA